UACGUAGGGUGCAAGCGUUAAUCGGAAUUACUGGGCGUAAAGCGUGCGCAGGCGGUGAUGUAAGUCAGAUGUGAAAUCCCCGGGCUCAACCUGGGAACUGCAUUUGUGACUGCACGGCUGGAGUGCGGCAGAGGGGGAUGGAAUUCCGCGUGUAGCAGUGAAAUGCGUAGAUAUGCGGAGGAACACCGAUGGCGAAGGCAAUCCCCUGGGCCUGCACUGACGCUCAUGCACGAAAGCGUGGGGAGCAAACAGG
This 253-nucleotide ribosomal RNA is filed under the name uncultured bacterium. RNAcentral describes it as "partial 16S ribosomal RNA". It matches the Rfam family "Bacterial small subunit ribosomal RNA", at positions 524 to 776 of the family's 1533-position model. The record is from RNAcentral.